This 78-nucleotide transfer RNA is filed under the name Hippea maritima DSM 10411. RNAcentral's name for it is "tRNA-Pro (GGG) (tRNA-Pro-GGG-1-1)". It matches the Rfam family "tRNA". Rfam says of the family: Transfer RNA (tRNA) molecules are approximately 80 nucleotides in length. Lineage: Bacteria; Pseudomonadati; Campylobacterota; Desulfurellia; Desulfurellales; Hippeaceae. The record is from RNAcentral.
CGGGGCGUAGCGCAGCCUGGAUAGCGCACUUGAAUGGGGUUCAAGUGGUCGGAGGUUCAAAUCCUCUCGCCCCGACCA